GAUUAGCAUAUGGGUCCAACUACUCUACGUGGUCUGGUCUCGUAGUGUUCGUUUGGCCAUUACUGCUCGUCGUAUGGCUGGUUUCAUCAAUGGUAAAAACAUUGUCCCUGCCAUUAAUGACUCUAGCUAUGAUGCUUGGGAAGAAGACAAUUUUUUGGUGCAGUCAUGGCUCCUUAACUCCAUGACUAAGAAUGUACGUGUCUUAUUUGAUCACUGCCCAACUGAUUGUGUGGUGUGGAAAACAACUCGGAAAACCUAUGCUGUCACUCAAAAUAGCUCCAAGUUGUACCAACUCCGUCAUUAG
RNAcentral lists this long non-coding RNA (304 nucleotides) under Prunus dulcis (almond). RNAcentral's name for it is "sRNA ncRNA". Lineage: Eukaryota; Viridiplantae; Streptophyta; Magnoliopsida; Rosales; Rosaceae. The record is from RNAcentral.